Erpetoichthys calabaricus (reedfish) is the source of this 827-nucleotide long non-coding RNA. RefSeq lists it as uncharacterized. The transcript is spliced from 3 exons. The record is from RefSeq and is a predicted model, not a curated record. NCBI's taxonomy places the organism in Eukaryota, Metazoa, Chordata, Cladistia, Polypteriformes, Polypteridae.
UAGGGAUGGACGUUCUAAGAACUUGGAUUCCAGAAGUGCUGCUCCUCUGCAAUACAAAACUACUGACUACUCCUCUUCUAGACAUCCAUCCCGCAGCUCGUCCCCCAGAAGGGGUACAGACAGCAGAAGUUCCUCUCCAAGACGAGGUCUGGAGCAACGCUCUGCUUUGUCCCGUAGCCCUUCUCCUUUAAGAGGUAGUAGUGCCAGGCUGAGCUCCUCCCAGAGCUCCUUGGAGUCCGAGUCUAGCUGGGUCUCUACUGGGUCUGCUUUGGCUCGACGUGAUUACACCCUACUGGCAGAUCUCCCGAAAGCAAAACGGAUUAGCCAUCGAGAGGCCUUGGGUAAAGAGAAAAGAGAUUUAGGAAAUAAAAGUCGGACUCGCAGUCCUGGAAGAGAAGAAGUAGAAAGACUAUUUCAUUAUGAACACAGGUAUGGUAUCUGAAGCAAUGGGAAACUAAAUCCGGUUUAGCUGCCAUGAACAGAAUAAAACCUUCUCUUAUUUCUCCUCAGAACAGCAGAUCUGGUGGAGGUGUUUGAGUCACUCGAUUCAGGGAUACCACCCAGAAGAACUGACAGAUCUUGGUCUAUUUCUGGAAGUGAGAGGUUGACCCGCACCCAUUCUACCUCCUCAUUGAGUCAGCAGAGGACGAGGAGCCCACCUAGAGAAAGAGAGAGAGAGAAAGAGGACAUUUCUUCUUGGAGGUCCAGUCUGUAUCCCACACAGCCAACCAGCUACAAGGUAAAUGAGGAGUCUAGGAAUCCAUUUAGUGAUGAUAACCCAGCAUGGAAAUCAAACGAGUCACGCAGACAGACAACAACAACCAAGG